CGCAACUGCAACGACGCCUCGAUCCCCGGCGAGGCGGCGGCUUCCGGCGAGGUCCGGUGAAGGCAUGGGCAAGGGACGCCAGGAAUAGCGAGAUCCAGUCCGACAUGGCUGGAGCUAUCGGAGCCCAUGGCCGUCGGCGAACUCCAAGGUGCGGCGCUGCAGAUCGGGCGGCAGCGGCGGCAGUUUGGGCACCAGAGGCGGCAGCCUGGGC
RNAcentral lists this long non-coding RNA (211 nucleotides) under Hordeum vulgare. Its description in RNAcentral is "long non-coding RNA (HVUL_LNC003513)". Lineage: Eukaryota; Viridiplantae; Streptophyta; Magnoliopsida; Poales; Poaceae. The record is from RNAcentral.